CGGAGUGCCCAUGACAGAGGAUUCGUCCAAUGGAUUGGGUUACUUAGUGGCGGACGGGUGAGUAACGCGUGAGGAACCUGCCUCGGAGUGGGGAAUAACACAACGAAAGCUGUGCUAAUACCGCAUGAUACAGUUGGGUCGCAUGACUCUGACUGUCAAAGAUUUAUCGCUCUGAGAUGGCCUCGCGUCUGAUUAGCUAGUUGGUGGGGUAACGGCCCGCCAAGGCGACGAUCAGUAGCCGGACUGAGAGGUUGACCGGCCACAUUGGGACUGAGACACGGCCCAGACUCCUACGGGAGGCAGCAGUGGGGAAUAUUGGGCAAUGGGCGCAAGCCUGACCCAGCAACGCCGCGUGAAGGAAGAAGGCUUUCGGGUUGUAAACUUCUUUUCUCAGGGACGAAGCAAGUGACGGUACCUGAGGAAUAAGCCACGGCUAACUACGUGCCAGCAGCCGCGGUAAUACGUAGGUGGCAAGCGUUAUCCGGAUUUACUGGGUGUAAAGGGCGUGUAGGCGGGAUCGCAAGUCAGAUGUGAAAACUGGAGGCUCAACCUCCAGCCUGCAUUUGAAACUGUGGUUCUUGAGUACUGGAGAGGCAGACGGAAUUCCUAGUGUAGCGGUGAAAUGCGUAGAUAUUAGGAGGA
This 642-nucleotide ribosomal RNA is filed under the name uncultured Lachnospiraceae bacterium. RNAcentral describes it as "bacterial SSU rRNA". It matches the Rfam family "Bacterial small subunit ribosomal RNA", at positions 40 to 705 of the family's 1533-position model. The record is from RNAcentral. Lineage: Bacteria; Bacillati; Bacillota; Clostridia; Lachnospirales; Lachnospiraceae.